Molecule: long non-coding RNA, 147 nt
Filed under: Penaeus japonicus
Lineage: Eukaryota; Metazoa; Arthropoda; Malacostraca; Decapoda; Penaeidae
Description: uncharacterized LOC122245661
Source: RNAcentral
AGGGCACAGUCCGGGUCCCAGCUCCUUGCAUGUAUGCGCAUAAGUUAGCCUUUAUGACUGGACAGACUGUUAAUGGUCCAGCACAUCGUGAUCUUCAGGAUAGACUGUGGUAUCUCUGAAGAUGAUGAUAUAGUAAUUAGUUUAGUU